Molecule: long non-coding RNA, 2656 nt
Organism: Myotis daubentonii (Daubenton's bat)
Lineage: Eukaryota; Metazoa; Chordata; Mammalia; Chiroptera; Vespertilionidae
Exons: 3
Source: RefSeq, a predicted model, not a curated record
ACAGGUGCAAGGACACCCAGCCUUCUGAUGCCAAACUGGGGUUUCUCCCAGGCCACGCCCCCUGUGCCUAGGAACACAUCCUCUCUCCUAUAGAAACGUGAGCCCUUGAGGACAGACACGAGGCCCUAAUCCCUGGCCCACAUCCUCCAACUUCCAGCACGGGGCCAGCUACGCAGGAGGCGCCCAGAAAUGGCCUACACAUUGAUUGACAAGGGAACCCGAGUUCAAGGGCAUGGCAGGAAAUCCCUGCAUAGGUGUGCAAGUCAGCGGCACGGUUCUUUGAGGCAGGCGGGGUGUGACCACAGGAAGAACCAGAACCUGAUCCGGAGGAUCCGUGAGGGUUGUCACUUUUGGACGAGGGAGCCAUGGGCGAGCUCCUUCAUCUCCCUGCACAUCAGUCUCCACGUGUGAGUCAUAACGGGAGUGAUGACAGCAUCCUGGGCAGCUCCCCACAGCAGAGUACAGCAGAGUCGCUUGACUCAAACAGGGCAACGCGUAGGGAAGCAGGCGAUGGAGCAAGAGGCAGUGGGGACUUGGUUUCGAUUGCACAGGCAGCCUGCAUUGUGACAGCCAUCACGAGAUCUUGGGGGCGUGAGGACUCAGUGGCUGCUUUGACCCUCCGGGAGGUCCGGCCUGGGCUCCCUGCUUUCAGAUAAGCAUGUCUCAGCUGGGCAGAGUCCCCUCCAGAAGGCAGGGGUUACCCAUCUAGGCCUCUGUCCUCAGAGCUAGGACGCCGAUGGGAUGUGUUCCCUGCCGCAAGUCCAGAACUGAACUCCCGCCCAGCCCCUCCUCUCCAGCCAGCCCACCUCGAAGGACGGUAACCUUUCUCUUCUCCAGGCCAGAUCCUUGGAGUCAUCAUCCUUAAUUCUUCUCUUUCUGUCACACCCCACAUUCAACCCUCCAGCAAAUCCUGAUCACUGCCUUCAAAUGGUCAGGGUGAAUGAGUUGAGAGUGCUGUAGUCAGAAGGUUCUUAUCUAUAAAAAGGCAACUUCAUCUGGGUCUCUUUGAUAUAUCCAGAAUCCUACUGACUCUGCGCCCACUCUCCCACCGCCAUAGCCCCAGCUCAGGGCUCCUGCUCCCACUCCUGCCACUUGCCUAGCAGUCUUUUCCAGUUGCCUUCUGCAUGCCCCCUACUGGGGAUCGAGCCUGCCCUUGACUGGAAUCAAACCUGGGACCCUGCAGUCCACAGGCAGACACUCUAUUCACUGAGCCAAACCAUCUAGGGCUGUUGUUGUUGUUUUGUUAACCCUCCCCUGAGGAUAUUUUUUUCAUUGAUUUUUAGAAAGAAUGGGAGGGGGGAGGAACUGGGGGAAAGAGAGAGAGAGAGAGAAACAUCAAUGUGAGAGAGACACAUUGAUUGGUUGUCUCCUACACAUGCCCCAACCAGGGCUGGGAAUCGAACCUGCAACCCGGGUACGUGCCCUUGACCGGGAAUCAAAUCUGAGAACCUUCGGCUCACGGGCCAACACUCUAACCACUGAGCACACCAGCCAGGGCUCUCCCGCCUCUUUGACCUUAUCUCCCUCCCUCACUCCACAGCUGUCACCCACACAGUUCCCACAGCAACAACAGCUUCCUUAAUAAUGCAAUUAAACAGCUGAUGGAUCUUACAAGGGCCCCUGCCUGGGCACUGAGGCUGAAAUCCCUGUAGACCCCAGCCGGGGGCAGGUGGGACUGAGGACCCUAGAGCCCUUGGAGCCAGCUGGCCACACUCUGUCAGGGACUUCCCAGCCCCCACCGCCACCCCAGACUUGUUGACAGCCUCUAUCAUCAGAAGAGGUGAGACCCCAGCUCCUUCUUUGACUUGAAUCUUCUCUCUGCCAUCCCCACAAGUGGUCACUCAUCAUGCGCUUGCAUGCCCCCAGUGACGGGGAGCUCACUGCUUGUCAGGCAAACAUCGCCAUCUUUGGACAGCUCUGACGGCCAGGACCUUCAGAUUGCGCAGCCAUCAUCAGCCUCCCAGGGGCUCCCUGGGCCAUCAGAUCGAGGCUGAUUCUGCAAACAGGUCAAGACCUCCUGAGGGUAAACAGCACGGCCCUUCUCCAUGCACUGUCUUCACCCCCUGGCUGCUGCUCAGAACAGAGAGCAGUCCUCCAGGCAGGGGACAGGAGGGUGCAGCCAAGGAACGUCCCCACCUCCUUUGUUCUGUCGGCCUCUCUGUCUUCAUGAGCCUUGAGCAAUUUGGUCGUAAUUUAUUCUUUUAGAAUUUUUUUCUAUAUGAAUUCCCAAGGCACACUCAGAGAUGUUGGUAAUCUGCCCCAGAGUAGGUAGAGAUGAGAGAGAGAUUUAAAAAAAGAGAUAAACCAUCCACCCAGUACAUGGUGUGUGGGCGCACAGGUGUGGGUCCCCUUGAGUCUGCUCCCCUCAGAUUCAUCUGGGCCUGAAAUGGAUGGAUUUAUGCAGCAGGCCGCCCAUUGUCUUCACUAGCAGAGAAGUGCAAACAAGGAUCCCGGAAGGCUGGUGAUCCUUGAACCCAGGGCAGGGCCUGAGUCAUGCACCGAUUGUCUAGUCCUGACAGUGGGGGCUCAAGCUACUUCCUAACCAAAGAGUCUCAGAGUAAAUCCUUCUAAUACUUACUGACCUUCAUGAUAGCCUGUCUAUAACUGCAAUUACCUGCCUGACUAAGGGUUUUAGGUUUAACCAAAGUUGAAUAAA